UCCUCGGUGGCUCAGAUGGAUAGAGCGUCUGCCAUGUAAGCAGGAUAUCCCGGGUUCAAAUCCCGGUCGGGGCA
This 74-nucleotide transfer RNA is filed under the name Schistocerca americana (American grasshopper). RNAcentral's name for it is "tRNA-Thr". It matches the Rfam family "tRNA". Rfam says of the family: Transfer RNA (tRNA) molecules are approximately 80 nucleotides in length. Their secondary structure includes four short double-helical elements and three loops (D, anti-codon, and T loops). Lineage: Eukaryota; Metazoa; Arthropoda; Insecta; Orthoptera; Acrididae. The record is from RNAcentral.